Scylla paramamosain (green mud crab) is the source of this 4685-nucleotide long non-coding RNA. RefSeq lists it as uncharacterized. NCBI's taxonomy places the organism in Eukaryota, Metazoa, Arthropoda, Malacostraca, Decapoda, Portunidae. The transcript has 2 exons. The record is from RefSeq and is a predicted model, not a curated record.
GUGUGUGUGUGUGUGUGUGUGUGUGUGUGUGUGUGUGUGUGUGGGGUGUGUUGGUGGGUGUGUGUGUGUGUGUGUGUGUGUGUGUGUGUGUGUGUGUGUGUGUGUGUGUGUGUGUGUGUGUGUGUGUGUGUGUGUGUGUGUGUGUGUGUGUGUGUGUGUGUGUGUGUGUGUGUGUGUGUGUGUGUGUGUGUGUGUAUUUGCUAUACGUUUAUGAAAUCUAUACUAUUAUGUAAUGAUCUAAAUAAUUAAGUCCCUAUGUAUGUAUGUAUGUAUAUUUGUAUUUUCACCAUAGUAAUGCAUAGUUUUUCUCUUUACAGUGUUCCCUCGUAUGCAACUUGCAAUAAGGUGGCCACAACGACUGCAAUAACCCUGUACCACGCCGUUCCCUGCCCUCCCCUCACAUCCGUGGCUGCCCACACCAUACACUACGUUGCCGUUAGUACGUGUUUGUUGUAAGGUUAACGUCAGUUCAAUUACUCGCCUCGUCAACGUUACGUAUUGAUAAAUGAAUGUUGUCGCAAACUUUUAUCGUUGGUGAGUUUCUUACGCAUUGUUUUGUUGUGAAAUACAUAUAAACUGUAGUGACUUUUAAUGUUAUGAUUGACACUACAAUCUGAAACGGACUUUUAACUGUGUACAUCGAAAAAUCUGUGUCGUGGGCUUUUCUUGUCAAGUUCGAAGUUUCAUAUUACUACCUUGUUCAGAAGUUGUCAGGGAUGAGAAGCUCCUGCUGAUAAGCCUGUAGUUUUUUUCUUGUUAAGUCUUCAAAUGAAGAUCAUUAGAUAGAGAUAUUCUUGGAACAAACUAUUACCUUGCUAAGUAAACAAUCUCGUGCAAUCUCGUGCAGCGCUUACAAAUAAUACUAUUAAGAAAUAGUUGUAUAAGCGUAAUCCACUGCAACAAAAUCCAGGAAGGGUACCAGCUCACAGCCAAGCCGCAUCUACGGUAUCCUGAAAAGAACAUAAAAACACCGCCAUCCUUUCCCGCGCGUGUGUGCUUAUUCUCCUCGAGGGCGACUAAGCAGCGUCUCUCGGAAACAAGACUCCCCUUAGCAAACAAAAGUCUAAGUCAACUAACUGUCAUAAACACAAUUUCCCGUCUCGCUCAUCUCCCUCCUCGUGCUCUCGUUCUUGCUCCGCCGGUUUUCGUUACCGUCUCCUUGAUCUGUCCUCAAGGCACCCGACGACAAGAUGGAAGAUUCAAGCCGAGCCAGCACUCCCUCCUCCUCCAACGCCAACACCACAGCCUCCAACACACGGCCCACCACGCCCCGGGAGGAGAGACACCAGAUAAGUCGUGAGCGGGAGUCACAACCCGGGUAACAAUAUCCAGGUCAGCGGUGCAAUGGACCCGAGUAUUGCAAAACAUUUGCGCCAUUAUGACUCCAUUUGUAUCAUAUUUCCGGAUGUAUCAAGCCAGACGAAGCUGCGGCCCAGAAGGACCCAGAGCCCUCAGGGCAUGUAUAUCACCGAUGUGUGUGUGUGUGUGUGUGUGUGUGUGUGUGUGUGUGUGUGUGUGUGUGUGUGUGAGGUGUGAGAAUGGAGGAUUGGUGUAUUUCAUAAUAUGUUUCUGUUUCAGUGAAUGACAUUUACUAGUAGCAUUAUCAUGAAGUGCGACUUUUGCAUCUCCUCUUUAUUUCCAGCAGCAGAUGAUGUCCCAUUACUGGGCUUGGAAUUUUUUACAUGUCUGUAAGGGAUAAUGGCACACUUCACUUGUGGAGAAAGAAUACAAAUAUUGUAUCAAUCUUAGAAGUAAAGUCAACGGAGAUCUCUGCCAUACUUUUCUCCCAAUUUUUUCUUUAAGCAACUGAGUUUAGUCUCACAUUUAUUUCUCAUGCUUUCAUUUUCUUCUUUAUUAAUUGUUUAUCUGAAGUUAAUGAGUUCAUACUUUCUAUCUCUUCUCACUAUCUGUCUGUCUUUCUGUCUUUCUGCCCCCGUCUGUCUGUCUGUCUGUCUGUCUGUCUGUCUGUCUGUCUCUGUCUGUCUGUCUGUCUGUCUGUCUGUCUGUCUGUUUGUCUGUCUGUCUGUCUGUCUGUCUGUCUGUCUGUCUGUCUGUCUCUCUCUCUCUCUCUCUCUCUCUCUCUCUCUCUCUCUCUCUCUCUCUCUCUCUCUCUCUCUCUCUCUCUCUCUCUCUCUCUCUCUCUCUCUCUCUCUCUCUCUCUCUCUCUCUCUCUCUCUCUCUCUCUCUCUCUCUCUCUCUCUCUCUCUCUCUCUCUCUCUCUCAUGCUGACCUUCGUCUUCUGUUAACAUUGCAAUAGUUAAACAAUAUCAUUAUUUUGUUACUUUAAUGAUAAUACAUGCAGUGGCACACCUUCGCUUUUCCUUUCUUUUCCUGCUCAUUAAACACCUGCGGCAGCGGAGGAUUGGGUGACCCUGAGAUCUUCCAUUACUUCCAUUACGUGGGGGUGCAUAUUUUGUAGUUUUUGUGGUUUUAUUGUUGAUGUUAUUUUAUUGUUCUUAUUUAUUUUCAUUGUCUUGAAGCAUAGAUGGUUUCUCCGUGUGUGUCAAAGUAGAUGGAGUUUUGCCACACGCCUCAGAGAAAAUCAUUUGUAUGUGAGCUGCGUAAACUUCGUAAAAAUAAUAUUCUAGUAAAUGCUUUUUCGCAGCUUUGUAACGGUUUUUCUCAAGUUGUCGUUACAGAUGAUGACUUCCUGACUUACCGGGAGGAUCAUUCACGUUCCUGUUGCGUCUCUUAUCUUCUGGUGAUGCUUCCCAUGGCUGACUUGAAUAGCGGAGAUGCUUGCUUUCCUUUGUCCUGGGAAGUCCUUGGCGUGCAUAACUUUUCUGUUUCAUGUGUCAUAUAAACUCAUUCAAGAGGUGAACCGUCGCAUCGUAUCAAGGUCCAGGUUUUCUUUAUCUUUAAUGUUGCUGAGCUGUUUUUUUUUUUUUUUUUUGUCUGUGGAGGGUGCAUUUAGGUACCUGCGUCUAGUUUCUUAGGUAUGUAUGAAGAAAGAAAUAUAAUAAUUACCAGCAGAAAUGUAUGGAUAACAGUAAAUGUUCUGAUUGUCGGUCUGCUUAAAGAGCUGACGCAGUACAUGGACCAGUCAGAGAUAAAAAUGUUUAUUUUUCGACACUACCAAUAUCAUUCAUUGUUUUACUUAAUACAAGUCUUCGAUAUUGGUUUGGUGAGCCCUGUCGGAAUACUGCACUUAAUAUCGUGGAAUGACACUUCUCUCCGAGAGCAUGAUGUCGAAAUUAAACAGUGAGCAUUGAUUACUGAACCAGAGCAUACAAUACGCGUAGAGUUUUGCAGUCACUUACUGAAAAUUAAAUUCAUACGUAACUAGAGAAGUGUAUGCGAAUGGCGCUUCGAACUGUAGACGGCUUUCAUCCCUGUGUAUCCUGUAUAUAAGCCUGUUCAUGUACUUUUAAUAUUUUAAAGAGAUUUGAUUGACUCUUUACUUUUGUUAGUUUUAUUAGGAUAAUGUUUCAUCCCAAUAAUGAUGGGUGUCAUGUUUCUUAAUGGAGUGUGUGCUGGUGCAGAAAGUGCAUUUAGUGAAGUGGUACUGAUCCUCUUUUCUGAUUGGGUAUUCAUGGUCUUAUAUUUUUUUUUCUAAUUAAAUAAUGAAAUGUCGUUUUGGUUAGCAAUGUCUAAUCAGUAUUCAGUUAUUUCUUUGAAGUUUGUUAUUUACAUGACUAAAUGAGAAAAAAAAAAUAAAACGCAGCGGUUUGGCCUCUACAAUCACGUAACUCAAGAAUAAAGGAAAGACAGGCGUGUUGAAAGACACCCCACGAAAAAAAAAUAAAUAAAAAAAAAAAAAAAAAACCUCUUACAGUGUACUAAAUUUUGUGAUUUUGUGGUGUGUAGCUGAGGAACCAAUGCAUAGAGCAGGUGUAGUGUUUAAAUGAUAAGAACAACUAUCGAAUCUUCCUUGUUUACCGAAGGAUGCUGUUUGUAUAUAAUUUCAUCACAUAUUUAUUACCUUAUCUUUUACCAUUUCUUUACUUUUCUCUUCUCGUACCGUGCUAUAUAACAUUGUUGGUACGAAUACUAAAAUCACCUAUUGAUCCCUAUAUAACAGUGAAUACAAUAUUGAUAAAGUUCUUACAUUCAGCUUGUGGCCAAAGCAUUCACGACCUACAGAACUAACCAGUACGUAGGUGUGGGCGCCUGUCUGCGCGGCCACACUCAUCCCCCAUGGCUGGCUCUGUCCUCUCACACCACCCUGGCUGCUCGGCGUCACUGAACAGGGUGUCGCUCUCAAAAUCAUGAACCGUCAAGCUUGUCGCACUGCAGCACCAAAGGCGGCCAGCGAGUCGGCUUGAGACACACACACACACUCACAUUCUCUCUCUCUCUCUCUCUCUCUCUCUCUCUCUCUCUCUCUCUCUCUCUCUCUACAUUAUCUACUGCAUCAUCCAGGCGUUGGAUCUUAACAUUAUAAUUAAUUACCGUAAUGUUAGUCUUCUGUCAUCAGCAGUUUUCUCCGUACCACGUCUCUUUGGUCACGCGUGUGUUCCUUUACUCUGGAGGAAAUGUUCAGGUGCAGCAGGCAGGUCCUCAGAUACGUUCUUGGAUUGGUGAAUAUCUCACUGGAUAAAGACGACCUCUGUUUUAAAUUUGAAAACCAGGAACAGUAUUUGGUAUUGUAAAUUGACCUCUCAACUGGCAGUUCAUCAUUACUUUUAUCCCAUUGUCAUCUAGUGUGUAUUUUCCAAAGUCAAUCAAAUAAACGUUGAGAACUU